Molecule: ribosomal RNA, 494 nt
Filed under: uncultured bacterium
Lineage: Bacteria
Description: partial 16S ribosomal RNA
Rfam family: Bacterial small subunit ribosomal RNA
Source: RNAcentral
GACGAACGCUGGCGGCGUGCCUAAUACAUGCAAGUCGAACGCUGAAGGAGGAGCUUGCUUCUCUGGAUGAGUUGCGAACGGGUGAGUAACGCGUAGGUAACCUGCCUGGUAGCGGGGGAUAACUAUUGGAAACGAUAGCUAAUACCGCAUAAUAGUAGAUGUUGCAUGACAUUUGCUUAAAAGGUGCAAUUGCAUCACUACCAGAUGGACCUGCGUUGUAUUAGCUAGUUGGUGGGGUAACGGCUCACCAAGGCGACGAUACAUAGCCGACCUGAGAGGGUGAUCGGCCACACUGGGACUGAGACACGGCCCAGACUCCUACGGGAGGCAGCAGUAGGGAAUCUUCGGCAAUGGACGGAAGUCUGACCGAGCAACGCCGCGUGAGUGAAGAAGGUUUUCGGAUCGUAAAGCUCUGUUGUAAGAGAAGAACGAGUGUGAGAGUGGAAAGUUCACACUGUGACGGUAUCUUACCAGAAAGGGACGGCUAACUACGU